RNAcentral lists this unclassified non-coding RNA (325 nucleotides) under Hevea brasiliensis (rubber tree). Lineage: Eukaryota; Viridiplantae; Streptophyta; Magnoliopsida; Malpighiales; Euphorbiaceae. The record is from RNAcentral.
UGUGCUUUCUUUCAGUCAAAUGUUGCAAGUUUUUUUGUAAAGAUAGUUGUCAACUCUGUUCUUGUUCUGCCUUUUUGUUUGUAAUCAUUUAUUUAGCAUUGUUAGGGAAAGCUGAUUAAAUUGGACGAAAUAAAGAGAUUCGUAAAAAUUAAAUGUACAGAUUUUGGAAGGACAAGUAUCCUUGGAGAUUAUUGAAAUGUUUUUCCUAUAAUGUAUUGUAUUUUGUAGGAAAGAUGCUCUGAUAUUCGAGAAUCAAUACAUCGCUUUGCAAUUGCUGGGGGGUAGAAUAGUUUUUCUGGCUUCUUUUAUAUUUAAUUGCUUUAAG